Molecule: ribosomal RNA, 170 nt
Filed under: uncultured rumen bacterium
Lineage: Bacteria
Description: partial 16S ribosomal RNA
Rfam family: Bacterial small subunit ribosomal RNA
Source: RNAcentral
UACGGGAGGCAGCANCUGGGGAAUAUUGCACAAUGGGCGCAAGCCUGAUGCANCAACGCCGCGUGAGCNAAGAAGGUCUUCGGAUCGUAAAGCUCUGUCCUCANGAACGAANAAGUGACGGUACCUGAGGAGGAAGCCCCGGCUAACUACGUGCCAGCAGCCGCGGUAAU